RNAcentral lists this ribosomal RNA (420 nucleotides) under uncultured bacterium. RNAcentral's name for it is "bacterial SSU rRNA". It matches the Rfam family "Bacterial small subunit ribosomal RNA", at positions 355 to 772 of the family's 1533-position model. The record is from RNAcentral.
UGAGGAAUAUUGGUCAAUGGGCGGAAGCCUGAACCAGCCAUCCCGCGUGCAGGAAGACGGCCCUAUGGGUUGUAAACUGCUUUUCCAGGGGGAGAAACUUUCCGAUGAAUCGGGAUUUGACGGUACCCUGGGAAUAAGCAUCGGCUAACUCCGUGCCAGCAGCCGCGGUAAUACGGAGGAUGCGAGCGUUAUCCGGAUUUAUUGGGUUUAAAGGGUGCGUAGGCGGCUCGAUAAGUCAGUGGUGAAAACCUGCAGCUUAACUGUAGACUUGCCGUUGAUACUGUUGGUCUUGAGUAUGGUCAAGGUAGGCGGAAUGUGUAAUGUAGCGGUGAAAUGCUUAGAUAUUACAGAGAACACCGAUUGCGAAGGCAGCUUACUGGACCAUCACUGACGCUGAUGCACGAAAGCGUGGGGAUCGAA